GAUGAAGAACGUAGCGAAAUGCGAUACGUAGUGUGAAUUGCAGAAUUCCGUGAACCAUCAAAUCUUUGAACGCAUAUUGCGCUCGAGGCUUCGGCCGAGAGCAUGUCUGCCUCAGCGUCGGUAUUACCCCUCGCUUCUCAACCCCUGGUUGAUGCCUGCCUGCCUUUGCAGUUGGCUAGAAGCGGAUCUGGCUUUCCCAAUUGCCUUUGGUAGUUGGGUCAGCUGAAGCACAGAGGCUUGAGCAAGGACCCUUAUUGGGCUUCAACUGGAUAGGUAGAACUGGUCUUAGGACCAACUACACGAAGUUGUUGCUUGUGGUCUUUGUCUGGAGGCCAACAGGAAACCUUUAUACCUUCGACCUGAGCUCAGGCAAGAUUACCCGCUGAACUUAAGCAUAUCAAUAAGCGGAGGA
RNAcentral lists this unclassified non-coding RNA (412 nucleotides) under soil metagenome. RNAcentral describes it as "partial contains 5.8S ribosomal RNA, internal transcribed spacer 2, and large subunit ribosomal RNA". The stretch from base 1 to 120 matches the Rfam family "5.8S ribosomal RNA", at positions 35 to 154 of the family's 154-position model. The record is from RNAcentral.